Molecule: long non-coding RNA, 3103 nt
Organism: Nelumbo nucifera (sacred lotus)
Lineage: Eukaryota; Viridiplantae; Streptophyta; Magnoliopsida; Proteales; Nelumbonaceae
Source: RefSeq, a predicted model, not a curated record
AAAAAAAAAAAAAAUCCUAAGCCCCUUUAAUAUCAGUGAUAUUUCUUCUAAUUUAUGAAACCUCUUAGUUGGAAUAAAUAAAAAGGAAAUCCCUGUAGUUCCACUCUAGCAUGAAGAAACUAAUUCUAGAAUGGAAAACAAUGAUAUGUAGUAAAUGUAGAUCUUCAAAAUGUAUUUGCUAUUUAUUGUCAGUGGAUCUGAGCCAAGGGUUUAUUAUCUUAACUCAAAACCUCAGUUGGAAUCAAUAAAAGGAAAUCUCUUGAGAUCUUUCUAGCUGAGAGGUAACUAAAUCAUUCCAACAUGAAAAAUAAUGACAUAGAAGAAAUGAAGAGACUUCAGAAUUUUCUAUUUAUUGUCAUUGAUUCUGAGCCUGAGAUUGUGAUAAUGUUGGUUCAAGUCUGAAUAAGGACACAUGUGCAAAAAAUCCCAAAGGUUAGGUUUGUAUCCAGUUCACCCCUCCCAAUCCCAAGUCCCAAGACCCUAGGUUUAUGGAAUUGUAAAUAUUUGCAGUUUAGAUAUAUUGAACUUCCUAUUUCUCAGUCCUCCAUAACUUUUUACAAAAAAGUCCAAACAUCACUUAUCCAUCUACAGUUUAAACCUAAAGGUUAAACAGAAUAAUUUUUUUAUUUUUUUGAUAAACAAAACAAAAAAGAACUUCUAUUACUAAUGAGGGAGAGGAUCCCUCACCUCAACCACUGUGAAAAAAGCAUAUACAAGAUACAUAACUAGCCAAUAGCCACUGUAUACUUCAUACCAAAAAAAAAAAAAAAAUUGUUAGUGACAAAAACCUAUGUAAUGCCAGUGGUUUCUGAAAUAAUCGCCACCAACCCCUACAAAAAGCUUCAAACUACUCAUCCACCUCAUUAUUUGUCGUUCAAUCUUCUUAAUCAAAGCUUCCAUUGGGAGUGAUUUUUCUUCAAAAUUUCGCAAGUUUUUUUUGUUUUUUUUUUUAUGAGUAAAUUUCGCAAGUUUCUUUCUUUCCAUAGUACCCAACAAACUGUCAUAAGCUGUGCCUUUUUUGGAUAAACUACCCAGUUUCCAGGCUGAGAUUAUUCCCUGAAUCUCAGGUGGGCUCAUCCAAUGCAAUUCAAAAAGCCUCACAAAAUGGGUCCACAAAUGAAAGAAGUACCUGCAACAAACCAGCAGAUGUGGACCCAUUUCCUCUGUUUCAGCACAGAGGGUACACACAUUGACUAGAGCCAAACCCCUUUGGUUAAGUCGGUCCAUGUCAAGAUUCUAUCUAAUAUUGCAGACCACAAGAAAAAUAAAAUUUUCAAAGGGACAUGGGCUUUCCAGAUCCACUGCCAAUGAACAGGAUUCACAGCUUCCACCAUCACGAGGUUGUAGUAUGAUUUUUUUAGCGAAGUUAACUUUCAUUAAAAGGAGAAGAAAAAGGGUACAUGAGAUGAUGUACAGCAGCCUGAAGAGGCAGAAGCAGAGAAAAUAACUGUCACUAAACAAAUUUUCUCUAAAAGCCCCCAACUUUGCUAGGCUAUCAGCAACAGUGUUCAACUCCCUAGGAAUCCAAACCAGCUUUACAUUCAUUGAGUCCAAGACAUCUCUGGCUUCAGCCAACAAGUGUGCUAGCCUCCAAGGCCCUCCUUCCUUCUCCCUUAACCAUGCUAUAGUAAGAUCUGGUUGAAUCCUGUUGUCACCCACAUUAGGCUGGCUGGAAUGCAAACUCUAGCCAAGCUGGUCAUCAACUCAAUCAGAUCCCCAACCUCCCAAUCAUUGAGGUGGCACCUAAAGUGGAGACCACACGACCUGGGACCCCACCAGCUCACAAUUCUGUGCAAUGGAGGCUUCCUUUUUUGCAGAAAUUGCAAAGAGAGAAGGAAUGACUGUGUCAAAGGUCUGUCCCCGCACCAGACAUCUUCUCAAAAUAGAAUCCUAUCACCAGCACCAGGAUUUAGCCUAAUGGAUUUCCUAAACCCAUCCCUGAGUUUUAGAAUUCCUUUCCAAGGGCUCCAGCCAAAGGGUUGGGAAGAGUCAAGAGAUUCACAGCCCAUUAUGGCUCUACCAAACUUUUCCACAACUACCUCCCUCCAAAGCUUCCCCUGUUUAUUACCAUACCUCCACCAGCAUUUAGAUAACAGAGCCUUAUUCAUCACCUGAAGGCUCCUUAGACCUGUCCCUCCUCUUGAUUUUGGACCACAUACUUUGUUCCAUUAUACAAAAUGGAAUUUGUGGUCCCCUUCCUUAAAUCCUUCCCAUAAGAAAUCUCUCUUAGCUGUGUCCAAAAUGCUUGGCACCAAUGCAGGUAUCGUAAACAAUGACAUAUAAUAAGUUGGUAGGUUGGAUAUGGAACUUUGCAACAAUCCAAAUUUCAAGGUUUUGUUGAGAAUUUUCAAAUGGCCACUUCUGCCCCACCUGGUUCUGAAGGCUUGUGUCAAGUGUAUGAAAAUAUUUAAGUUCUUGAAAGUAAUAUGUAUUUGAGGUGCAUCAGAGAUGGCCAUUUGGACAGUACCUUACAUAAUAUGUCUUUGAAUCCCAGAUAUGGUCUUUAUUGAUGGUCCUUGGUUUUUGAAAGUUCUUAGUAUAAUGACACUAGUAGGCUCCCCACUAGCUCCCAUGCUAAAAUGCCCGCUUGGAAUACUUCUUCUUUGCCUCAAAAAUGCCUAGAACAAGGCCUUGAGCUGCAUAACAUUGAAAAUCAUCCCCACACAUGUUUUCUGAACCGUGAAACAAGUCAGAGCUUUUUCAUCUACUAGGCAUCUAUUUAUCACAUCAGUAGAGAUACUGCAAUAAACAUUAGCUGUGCUAGUAAUGUUCUUUAGGUUGUUCACAACUUGGAAACUACCACUAGAUUAUUAUAACCAAAAUUAAUUCCAACCACAAAUAAAACAAUUUGGAUGGUUCAACUAGGAACUUACCUAAUUAAAGUACUAGUUUUAGUAGGAAACAAUGAAACAAAAGUCAUCCAUUUCCCACAGGUGAACUAGCAUGCUCAUACUAGUUUUUAGUAAUUUACUUGAUCAGUUUGAAGAGGUUGAACAGGGAGUUUUCCUCUCCGGUAAUGGUUUUCAAAUCAUACGGUGAAGCCCAUUCUUCUAACCAGAUAUCCAUUAAUCCAUGUAAAUGAACUACUAAGUACCCGAAGUGA